Molecule: long non-coding RNA, 200 nt
Filed under: Manihot esculenta (cassava)
Lineage: Eukaryota; Viridiplantae; Streptophyta; Magnoliopsida; Malpighiales; Euphorbiaceae
Description: long non-coding RNA (MESC_LNC003367)
Source: RNAcentral
AAAUCUGUCAAGUCUAGAACCACAAGGUCGGCGGACAAGCAUCUUCCCUCAACAAACACAGGACUACACUGGCAGACUGACUCUGCCACUGAUGGAUCACACUUGGGUCCACUGACCCAUAGAGGAUACUCUAACCCAGAGAUCAUCAACCCCAACCUCUCAACGGCUCUCGGAGCAAUAAAAGAAUGAGAUGCACCAGG